Molecule: long non-coding RNA, 1012 nt
Organism: Notolabrus celidotus (New Zealand spotty)
Lineage: Eukaryota; Metazoa; Chordata; Actinopteri; Labriformes; Labridae
Exons: 4
Source: RefSeq, a predicted model, not a curated record
UGUGUGCGCUCCCUCUCCUCUGAGCGCUCCUCUCAGAGCAGGCAGCACUGAAGACCUGACACCGGCGGAACAGGACCUCCUCCUCCUCCUCCUCCUGCAGGUUUCACAGAGUCUGAGCGUUCAGACAAACUCUGAUCCGGGUCGAGAUGAAGCCGGAGAGCCUGUCUCUGCUGCUGAGACUGAGGAACACACUUUUCCCCCAGACUGCACCCGAGCAGAGAGCCGCAGGGGAGAGACCAUAACCCCAGAAGUUCUUAAAAUGAAUGUCAUGAAAGGAGCUGGCAGGAGAAGAAGAGGAAGAAGCAGAACGAGCAUCAGCGGCGUUAGCCUUCGGUGCAGAGGGGAAGGAGAGGAAGCGGAGAGGAGAAGAUGAGAGUGAUGAAAGAGAGGUCCAGACAUGAAGGAGGCACGCACACACACCGGAGCACACACACACCGGCACCUCCAGUCUGUCUGCGGUCGACCUCCAGCCUGACUAACACACACUCACACACACCGUGGCCUGUUACGGCCAACAGAUGAAGAGAGGAGACGCCACUCCAGCUGUGAGGAGACUGAGGAGUCAACACACACUCACAUAAACACACACACUCACACACACACACACACAGAGCCGGAGGCGCGUGAGCAGGUGAGCAUUAAGUCAGGCAGCUAAACAGAUCACGUCGCGGUGUGAUAUCUGCAGACAGGCAGACAGAGGAGGCCGGUCUGUACCUGCAGGCAGAGAGCAACAACUCCAGGCACCCGAGCCAGGAAUUUACUCCCCCUCCUGAGAGAGGGAGGGAGGGAGAGAGAGAGAGGGAGGGAGGGAGAGAGAGAGAGAGAGAGAGAGAGAGAGAGAGAGACGUGUGUGAACCAAACCCAGCAGUGUUCAGACGCUCAUGGACAAAUUUUGUUUUUUAACUUCUGCGUCAUAAAAAUUGAUAACUUCAAUGUUGUGCAGACUUUUUUAUCUGUAACAACCAAGAGAGACACAUUUAAAACUGAAUAAUAAAAGACCUUCAACACAGAA